Molecule: long non-coding RNA, 1650 nt
Organism: Drosophila mojavensis
Lineage: Eukaryota; Metazoa; Arthropoda; Insecta; Diptera; Drosophilidae
Exons: 2
Source: RefSeq, a predicted model, not a curated record
AGAAUAUGCAAUUCAAUUAGAAUUCCAAUUGGCCAUCAGUAUAUGCAACAACUCACCUGUAAAUUGGAUCGACUGCACAUAUCCUAUAAAGGGCAUACAUGCAGUAAACAAAUACUACAGUGCACUGACUAAUAUCAACACAAACGCACUUAACUAAACUAGCGGCACUACUCGAUGUUUGGGACGCGGAGUCUUCUCAGCUACUUCUUCUUGUACCACUGGAUGAUAUACUGCAAAGAAAAACAAAAAAUAUUAAGUAUCAACACUUUUAUUUACAUUUGCAUAAUUAACAUAACCUUGCAGUUAGCUUGCUUUCACACACAUCUCUGCCUUGUAGUGCACAUACUCUCUAGUACUUGGUAGUAAGCUGCUGCAAUUUGUAAAAACAAUGAAUUAAUUAAUAUUCAAUUUUUAAUGCUUUUAUUAGUAUUCUUAUUUGAAACUAUACUUUCCAGUUGCAAUUUUGCAAUUAAUGCACUUCACUUUUCGCACCAUAUGCUUAUACAACAUAUGUUUUGUCUUUGCAUAUCGAUAGACAUAUAAACGCAGUGAUGCACUAUCACUUUCACGAUCGCACUUGCGAUGUAUCUAAUAAAUUUUAACUAAAUUAAAUAUGCUAAAAUGAAAAGAAAAACCCAUUGAAAAUCAAAUAUUGAAAGGAAAACAACUAUUACUAUUAAUUAUAUUACUCUUAUACUACUAAUACUAUAUUUAGCUUAAACAACCUAUGGGGAAAAUGACUAGACUUUGUCUUGAAUUUUCUCUUUGAAUUGAAUGGCGGCAUUAUGGCAGCUAAUUGAUCUGCGCAUCUCAUAGAUGCAGCUGAAAAUGAAUUUAAUUAUAUUAACUCAUUAGUUUACAACUAGCAAUUUAAGCAUAUCAAUGUCAUCUACUUCUGAUCUGCUCUUUUAUACGUACACAUAUAUCACAAUGGUGCACUGCUAUCUUUUGUUGCGCUUGUGGCCAUUUAAACUAAUCAUAGUUUCGCAAAAUAUCGACCGAAUGUAUAUUCUUUAAAGAUAUCUUUUAGGCGCAAUUUUAAUUCUAAGAAAAUACUAUUGUCAAAGUAUUGUAUGAAUAAAGAGCAUCUCUAUUUUCUCUCUUCCUCUUCAUCUAGCUGAUUGACAGCUAAUAUGAAUGAGACUAAAGGGAAUAUGAGAUCAUUAAUGUGUGUUCUGUCAAGGCAUACAAACAGAAAAAAAUAUCCAGCUUCAACACGCAACACAAGCGAAAACCUUCGCAGAAUAGCAGCCCGACGCAGAUACGAGGCUCUUCGCAACGAUGCAGCUCGUCGCAACGACGCUCCACCAAAUGACGCUGCCACACACUCAUCCUCUUCAGAGGUGGCCCUCAACAUAGGCAACGCAGCUGCCUCACAGUCGCGCCUGCCAAUCUUCCAGCAACUGGCGCCGUUGCCACCCACUACAGGCACUUUGCGCACACACAACACAAAUCCAGACAACCCUCCGGCUGAGCAAAGCGGGUCGUCUCCAAGCAACUGAUUGCAGCAUAUACACUAAAAAAGAAUAUGCAAUUCAAUUAGAAUUCCAAUUGGCCAUCAGUAUAUGCAACAACUCACCUGUAAAUUGGAUCGACUGCACAUAUCCUAUAAAGGGUAUUCUAGCAAAUAAAACUCAAAUUGGAUAUUUA